UACGUAGGGUGCGAGCGUUAAUCGGAAUUACUGGGCGUAAAGCGUGCGCAGGCGGUUUUGUAAGACAGAUGUGAAAUCCCCGGGCUUAACCUGGGAACUGCACUUGUGACUGCAAGACUAGAGUGCGGCAGAGGGGGGUAGAAUUCCACGUGUAGCAGUGAAAUGCGUAGAUAUGUGGAGGAAUACCGAUGGCGAAGGCAGCCCCCUGGGUCGACACUGACGCUCAUGCACGAAAGCGUGGGGAGCAAACAGG
RNAcentral lists this ribosomal RNA (253 nucleotides) under uncultured bacterium. RNAcentral describes it as "partial 16S ribosomal RNA". It matches the Rfam family "Bacterial small subunit ribosomal RNA", at positions 524 to 776 of the family's 1533-position model. The record is from RNAcentral.